Molecule: ribosomal RNA, 253 nt
Filed under: uncultured bacterium
Lineage: Bacteria
Description: partial 16S ribosomal RNA
Rfam family: Bacterial small subunit ribosomal RNA
Source: RNAcentral
UACGUAGGGGGCAAGCGUUGUCCGGAAUCAUUGGGCGUAAAGCGCGCGUAGGCGGCCCGGUAAGUCCGCUGUGAAAGUCAAAGGCUCAACCUUUGAAUGUCAGCGGAUACUGCCAGGCUAGAGUCCGGAAGAGGCGAGUGGAACUCCUGGUGUAGCGGUGGAAUGCGCAGAUAUCAGGAAGAACACCAACGGCGAAGGCAGCUCGCUGGGACGGAACUGACGCUAAGGCGCGAAAGCGUGGGGAGCGAACAGG